CAAUAGCGUAUAUUAAAGUUGUUGCGGUUAAAAAGCUCGUAGUUGGAUUUCUGGAGGGAGCGUCGACCCGUAUUUACGAGUGCGUGACGUCUCUGUCCAUCCUUGCGGGAAGGCACGGCAUUGAUUUGUUGUGUCGGAUCGCAUCAUUUACUGUGAAAAAAUUAGAGUGUUCAAAGCAGGCUUUCGCUUGAAUACAUUAGCAUGGAAUAAUAAGAUAGGACUUUGGUGCUAUUUUGUUGGUUGAGCCUAAAGUAAUGAUUAAUAGGGAUAGUUGGGGGCACCUGUAUUGCGUUGUCAGAGGUGAAAUUCUUGGAUUUACGCAAGACAAACAGCUGCGAAAGCGUCUGCCAAGGAUGUUUUCAUUAA
This 366-nucleotide ribosomal RNA is filed under the name uncultured eukaryote. RNAcentral's name for it is "partial 18S ribosomal RNA". It matches the Rfam family "Eukaryotic small subunit ribosomal RNA", at positions 592 to 976 of the family's 1831-position model. The record is from RNAcentral.